UGUGAGUGGUGUUUGGUUGCGUGCGGUGGCAGGCUCCGUGCUUUGUGCAUCGAACUGUCGACCCUCGGACCUCUUCAAUCUUUCCCCCGCGGUCGUUGUGCCCGGGUGGUGCUAUCGGGAUCCUGUGCUGCUUACCUAUACCGAUGGAACUUGGGUGUCGUUCCGUCCCUUUUCCGCCUCGCGCCCUCACGGGCUUUGCGACGGAUUUUGGAUUCAUGCUCGGUGCUAUGGGUGCGUCCCCGGAUUGGGUGCGGCCGCCUUGGGGCACCGGUGCAUGAUCGUGCUUACGGAUGCGGAAAGCUUUGUGGGCUUGGGGCCAUGCCCCCGUGGGUUGGAUUAGAUGCGAUUUGUCCCUCGAUAUAUACGACGACGCUCGUGCCCCGUCUUGGACUCUCCGCUGCCCACGCGGCGCGUAGAGGCCCAUGCGGUGCCGACGUCGCG
RNAcentral lists this unclassified non-coding RNA (441 nucleotides) under Ceiba pentandra (kapoktree). Its description in RNAcentral is "partial external transcribed spacer". The record is from RNAcentral. Lineage: Eukaryota; Viridiplantae; Streptophyta; Magnoliopsida; Malvales; Malvaceae. RNAcentral also lists the same sequence under 1 other name.